CCUACGGGAGGCUGCAGUGGGGAAUAUUGCACAAUGGGCGCAAGCCUGAUGCAGCCAUGCCGCGUGUGUGAAGAAGGCCUUCGGGUUGUAAAGCACUUUCAGCGGGGAGGAAGGCGUUAAGGUUAAUAACCUUGUCGAUUGACGUUACCCGCAGAAGAAGCACCGGCUAACUCCGUGCCAGCAGCCGCGGUAAUACGGAGGGUGCAAGCGUUAAUCGGAAUUACUGGGCGUAAAGCGCACGCAGGCGGUCUGUCAAGUCGGAUGUGAAAUCCCCGGGCUCAACCUGGGAACUGCAUUCGAAACUGGCAGGCUAGAGUCUUGUAGAGGGGGGUAGAAUUCCAGGUGUAGCGGUGAAAUGCGUAGAGAUCUGGAGGAAUACCGGUGGCGAAGGCGGCCCCCUGGACAAAGACUGACGCUCAGGUGCGAAAGCGUGGGGAGCAAACAGGAGUAGAUACCCCGGUAGUC
RNAcentral lists this ribosomal RNA (465 nucleotides) under uncultured Klebsiella sp. Its description in RNAcentral is "bacterial SSU rRNA". It matches the Rfam family "Bacterial small subunit ribosomal RNA", at positions 338 to 795 of the family's 1533-position model. The record is from RNAcentral. Lineage: Bacteria; Pseudomonadati; Pseudomonadota; Gammaproteobacteria; Enterobacterales; Enterobacteriaceae.